CAGGUAGUAAACAAACAGUGUAAGGAAAAUGGCUGGUGCUUAGUGAGGUAUUUAUUCAGAGAUUGUGCAUUUUUGUGAUUAAACCACAACAGCAAAAGAAUUUUCAAAGUUAUGAUGUCCACAGGGGAAUGAAAUGGUGUAAAUUACCGCUAGAGCUAAUAGACUGACUGAAACAUGACUCCUUCAUUACUCUUUCAUUAUGAGUGCACAUGUACCCUCCUGCAGUAAACUGGAUCAAAGACACUUUUCACUGCUUCCUGUUAAAACUUUAUGGUGUGAGCUGAUGUAAAGGCAGUUAAGAAUGCCAUUAGACAUUAGAGAAAAAUCAAUGUGGCACUUAUUGCUGCAUCAAAAUGAGCUAAUUUAAUGUUCAAAAUUCUUUAUUUUGUUUUUACUAGAUGUUUAGUCUACAGGAUCUAAACCAUUUCACAGAAUAUCUUGGUAUGACUGUAGGUUAAUUAUUUUAGAAAUAGUAUAUGACACUGUCAGUCAAUGUUUAGGUGACAUACAGGACAAAUGAUCCAUCUGUGUAAAAUAUAAUCCAAAAUGUUAAUUCUAUUGUGAUUUUAUCUCAACAUUUUUAUCAUAAGUCAAGAUAAAUUCAGCUCAAAGACACACAGACAGCAGUCCGGCGCUACACAAAAUUCUUCACAACUGUUAUUCAAACAUGGUGAUGUUCACAGUAGAGUGAGAGUUUAAACCCAAGCGCUAGAGUAAUUGCAGGGUGUACAGAAAGAUGGGAACACACACGCGCUCCACUGCAGGUGCACUUGAUGAUGUCUGUUAUUAGGGGUUUACACGGUGUAUUGACUGUUUGAAAUGAUAGAAAAGACACAUUUUGUGCCAUAAGUUAGAAAAGGUCUAGGUCAUGUCAUGUAACCCUGUGCCAUGUCAUCUGUCACUUCAUAACUAGUGUCAGGUCAUUGUUGGCUUCCCUUUGCUUUAAUGAAAAAUUUUAAAAAAGCCGCCAAGGAACAAUCAGCCUUCUAAAUGCCUUGUAAAAUUCAACAUCAAACGUAGCAUGUAUUAGAGGUUACUUAGGCGAAUGCCAGCAUCUUAAAGGACUCCCGCUGAUUCCAGUGACCCUGCACCAGGGUGACUACAUCCAUCCAGGAACUGCCUCCCUUGGACUUCCUGUUCUGUGUUAGUGCUUUUCACAUCAAUGAGGGAGAUAUCCGGGUCAGCGCAGUGUAGGAUUACACUAAAAAGGGCAGACGUCUUAUUGAAACAUCAUGAGAAAACUCCAGACACAUUUUCAUGUGGUUAGACAAGAUAUAUGCGUUUUCUCAAAUCUUUACUUCAUUUUAAGCUGCUAAAUUGUUAUAUCAUCCACACUGUUCAGAAGUUGAGUCAGUAAGAAUUAUUUUUUCUUUGAAUGAAAUUAAUACUAUUAUUUAGUGAGGCUAUAUUAAAUAGAUCAAAAGUGACAGUAAAAACAUUUAUAAUGUUAUAAAUUUCUAUUUCAAGUAAAUGCUGUUCUUUUGACCUUUUUAUUAAUCAAAGAAUCCUGAAAAAGUUUUACGCAGCAAUAUUUUUCAACAUCGAUAAUACGAAAUGUUUCUUGAGUAUCAAAUCAGCAUAUUAGAAUGAAUUCUGAAGGAUCAUGUGACACUGAAGACUGGAGUAAUGAUGCUGAAGAUUCAGCUUUGCCAUCACAGGAAUAAAUUAUAUUUUAAUAAUAUUUCACAACAUUGUUUUAUUGAGACUUCCUAUAAAAACCGUUCAAAAAUCUUACUGACCCCAAACUUUUGAAUGGUAUAGUGUAUAUCUGGUGGUGAUUACUCAUUGUUCACGUUGGGGUUUAUGUUGUACAAGAUGGUUUCCUUCGGACUGUUUAGACUGAGAAAAGGUCAAUGGCGCUACAAAUCAGCCAAGUACUAUAGCAGCAAAGGAAUUUUGUUUUCCUGUGUUUGUUUCCAGUGUUGCUUGGUGUAUAGACUGAAACAUGCAUACCGGAAGAGUUACUGUAAAUAACAAGCUGGUUGGUUCCCCAAAGUGUGUUUUAUACAAUCUACUGUAUCGUUUAGCUAUAUAGGCUUUAGACCAUAAUGAUAAAUAUAAAACAUACUUAAAAUAACGAAACGAAGGACUAUUUACUAAUGCAGUUACCUGCAUAAAGCCUUGAUUAAAGCCAUGUAGACAGCACAGGGGUGUGGUGUUCCCACUGGGAGAUGCCAAUAAGCCAGUCAAACACAACCGCACAGGUUUCUCACACUGUAACCCAGUAUUCCCUUGCCUUAGAGGCAGGAAAAAGGAUAAUUUCCUCAACAACUGCUCCACUUUGCAUGUCCCUGGGGUUGUCCAGCUGACUAAGAACUGCAUAUAAGUGCCUCUCAAACACUGCAGGGCCUAGCAGUUGAUAAUAAUGCCACUGGCACAGAUGCCCAUCAAUGGUGUCUCUCAUGUAUAACAGACUUAAAGCAACACGUAAGCGGGCGGUUUUCUUGUUUUUGACUGUUAAGUGAAGGAAUCACGAGAAGCAGACUAUAUAGCCUGCUGGUGUAUAUCAGUCAGAAACAUUUUUUAUUAUCAAUGUUGAAAACAGUUGUGCUGUGUAAUAUUUUUGUGGUAACUGUGAUACAUUUUUUCAGAAUUCUUUGAUAAAUAGAAAGUUCAAAAAACAGCAUUUAUUUUUAAUAAAUGCCUUUAGUGUGACUUUGGAUUAAAGGGUUAGUUCACCCAAAAAUGAAAUUUAUGUCAUUAAU
This is a long non-coding RNA of Ctenopharyngodon idella (grass carp), 2705 nucleotides long. RefSeq lists it as uncharacterized. NCBI's taxonomy places the organism in Eukaryota, Metazoa, Chordata, Actinopteri, Cypriniformes, Xenocyprididae. The record is from RefSeq and is a predicted model, not a curated record. The transcript is spliced from 3 exons.